UGGGGAAUAUUGGACAAUGGGCGAAAGCCUGAUCCAGCCAUGCCGCGUGUGUGAAGAAGGUCUUCGGAUUGUAAAGCACUUUAAGUUGGGAGGAAGGGCAGUAAACGAAUACCUUGCUGUUUUGACGUUACCGACAGAAUAAGCACCGGCUAACUCUGUGCCAGCAGCCGCGGUAAUACAGAGGGUGCAAGCGUUAAUCGGAAUUACUGGGCGUAAAGCGCGCGUAGGUGGUUCGUUAAGUUGAAUGUGAAAGCCCCGGGCUCAACCUGGGAACUGCAUCCAAAACUGGCGAGCUAGAGUAGGGCAGAGGGUGGUGGAAUUUACUGUGUAGCGGUGAAAUGCGUAGAUAUAGGAAGGAACACCAGUGGCGAAGGCGACCACCUGGGCUCAUACUGACACUGAGGUGCGAAAGCGUGGGGAGCAAACAGG
This 429-nucleotide ribosomal RNA is filed under the name Pseudomonadota bacterium. RNAcentral's name for it is "Proteobacteria bacterium partial 16S ribosomal RNA". It matches the Rfam family "Bacterial small subunit ribosomal RNA", at positions 355 to 776 of the family's 1533-position model. The record is from RNAcentral. Lineage: Bacteria; Pseudomonadati; Pseudomonadota.